Molecule: non-coding RNA, 22 nt
Filed under: Rattus norvegicus (Norway rat)
Lineage: Eukaryota; Metazoa; Chordata; Mammalia; Rodentia; Muridae
Source: RNAcentral
UAUCAAAUGGCGGAAGAGCCCC